UUCCACGGCCUCCGCCACUCCACAACAAUGGCGGACAAGCUGUGAAAAAAAGGAGGAAAAAACGCCCCGGCUCGGGCUGCGGCAGUGUGGAGACCUGUCGUAUACGCAGGCGGCGCAAGCCCCUGUGAGGGCACAUCCGGCGGAGGCCGUGUGUCCGGAGUCAGAAAACUAUGGCA
Molecule: non-coding RNA, 176 nt
Filed under: unclassified sequences
Description: malK-I RNA
Rfam family: malK-I RNA
Source: RNAcentral